AGUGAACGCUGGCGGUAGGCCUAACACAUGCAAGUCGAACGGCAGCACAGUAAGAGCUUGCUCCUACGCGUGGCGAGUGGCGGACGGGUGAGGAAUACAUCGGAAUCUACUUUUUCGUGGGGGAUAACGUAGGGAAACUUACGCUAAUACCGCACACGACCUACGGGUGAAAGCAGGGGAUCUUCGGACCUUGCGCGAUUGAAUGAGCCGAUGUCGGAUUAGCUAGUUGGCGGGGUAAAGGCCCACCAAGGCGACGAUCCGUAGCUGGUCUGAGAGGAUGAUCAGCCACACUGGAACUGAGACACGGUCCAGACUCCUACGGGAGGCAGCAGUGGGGAAUAUUGGACAAUGGGCGCAAGCCUGAUCCAGCCAUACCGCGUGGGUGAAGAAGGCCUUCGGGUUGUAAAGCCCUUUUGUUGGGAAAGAAAAGCAGCAGGUUAAUACCCCGCUGUUCUGACGGUACCCAAAGAAUAAGCACCGGCUAACUUCGUG
RNAcentral lists this ribosomal RNA (492 nucleotides) under uncultured bacterium. RNAcentral's name for it is "partial 16S ribosomal RNA". It matches the Rfam family "Bacterial small subunit ribosomal RNA", at positions 29 to 507 of the family's 1533-position model. The record is from RNAcentral.